GUGACAUCAAAACAGAUAGCAAAAUGGGCAGAUCAAAUGAUCCAUUUCUAUGGAAGACGAAAAUUUUGGAUCAAUUGUUGAGAUGCCAAACGAUGGCAGCAAAUUAGUUUUUGAAGAAAAGAAUGGAAAUAAAAAUGAUAAGUGCGAAAUACAUACGCAUUUAUAGAGGCGUGAAGGUGAAAAGACAGAAUGUGAAUGGCCACAUUCGUGCUUAGUAACUGAAACAUCUUGGGAAAAGAGAUGAAAAUACCAAGGAAGAAUGUACAUGAAUCUUAGUAUAAAGCAAUUAAAUGCUUGGGAGGUUGACGAUUAAGGACAACGUCAAUCAAUACACAAGUAGACAAACUAGUCGUUCAUUAAUGACGAUAACUGCUGUUACAUUCAAAAUUAGCAAUGGCAAUUAGUGCGAAGUUACAAAAGAAAAUUUAAGGCAUUAGAUGUCUUAAUUACAAUUCACCUCAGGCCGAACGAAUUCUUUCCCUAAGUCUACCCCAAUCUUCGCUCUGCUGAGAAGAAGCGACAUUUAAUUCAGCUACAAAAUCGUCAUCAACUUCCAGCUUUUUGUACUGCUCAACCAAAGACUUGGUUUGUUCAAUUCCUUGGAAAGCAUUACCCCUUUUAGUAGCCAUUCUCGCCCUACAGUCGUCCAUUUUUGUUUGAAGCUCCUUCAUCUCUGCAGCCAAACUUGUCAUCAAAGAGUCUUCGAUCAUAACAUCGGAAGAGAUUUCUUUUAAUUCAUCCUCGACUUUGUUAAUCUCUAGAAGCAAAGACUCUCUUUCAG
Molecule: long non-coding RNA, 781 nt
Filed under: Olea europaea subsp. europaea
Lineage: Eukaryota; Viridiplantae; Streptophyta; Magnoliopsida; Lamiales; Oleaceae
Source: RNAcentral